GGGGAUAUAGCUCAGUUGGUAGAGCACACGGCUCAUAUCCGUGCGGUCAUAGGUCCGAGUCCUAUUGUCCCUA
RNAcentral lists this transfer RNA (73 nucleotides) under Treponema bryantii. RNAcentral's name for it is "tRNA-Met". It matches the Rfam family "tRNA". Rfam says of the family: Transfer RNA (tRNA) molecules are approximately 80 nucleotides in length. Their secondary structure includes four short double-helical elements and three loops (D, anti-codon, and T loops). Further hydrogen bonds mediate the characteristic L-shaped molecular structure. tRNAs have two regions of fundamental functional importance: the anti-codon, which is responsible for specific mRNA codon recognition, and the 3' end, to which the tRNAs corresponding amino acid is attached (by aminoacyl-tRNA synthetases). tRNAs cope with the degeneracy of the genetic code in two manners: having more than one tRNA (with a specific anti-codon) for a particular amino acid; and 'wobble' base-pairing, i.e. permitting non-standard base-pairing at the 3rd anti-codon position. The record is from RNAcentral. Lineage: Bacteria; Pseudomonadati; Spirochaetota; Spirochaetia; Treponematales; Treponemataceae. RNAcentral also lists the same sequence under 3 other names.